RNAcentral lists this ribosomal RNA (460 nucleotides) under uncultured bacterium. RNAcentral describes it as "partial 16S ribosomal RNA". It matches the Rfam family "Bacterial small subunit ribosomal RNA", at positions 338 to 795 of the family's 1533-position model. The record is from RNAcentral.
CCUACGGGAGACAGCAGUGAGGAAUAUUGGUCAAUGGCCGGAAGGCUGAACCAGCCAUGCCGCGUGAAGGUCAGUGCCCUAUGGGCGUUAAACUUCUUUUGUGCGGGAGCAAUAAUGGUCACGUGUGGCCAGACGAGAGUACCGUACGAAUAAGCAUCGGCUAACUCCGUGCCAGCAGCCGCGGUAAUACGGGGGAUGCAAGCGUUAUCCGGAUUUAUUGGGUUUAAAGGGUGCGUAGGCUGGGAGGUAAGUCAGCGGUGAAAUGCCCCCGCUCAACGGGGUGAAGUGCCAUUGAUACUGCCUGGCUGGAAUGCGGAUGCCGUGGGAGGAAUGUGUGGUGUAGCGGUGAAAUGCAUAGAUAUCACACAGAACACCGAUUGCGAAGGCAUCUCACGAAUCCGCGAUUGACGCUGAUGCACGAAAGCGUGGGUAUCAAACAGGAUUAGAUACCCCAGUAGUC